GUGAGGAAUAUUGGUCAAUGGGCGAGAGCCUGAACCAGCCAAGUAGCGUGAAGGAUGAAGGCUCUAUGGGUCGUAAACUUCUUUUAUAUGGGAAUAAAGUUUUCCACGUGUGGAAUUUUGUAUGUACCAUAUGAAUAAGGAUCGGCUAACUCCGUGCCAGCAGCCGCGGUAAUACGGAGGAUCCGAGCGUUAUCCGGAUUUAUUGGGUUUAAAGGGAGCGUAGGUGGAUUGUUAAGUCAGUUGUGAAAGUUUGCGGCUCAACCGUAAAAUUGCAGUUGAAACUGGGAGUCUUGAGUACAGUAGAGGUGGGCGGAAUUCGUGGUGUAGCGGUGAAAUGCUUAGAUAUCACGAAGAACUCCGAUUGCGAAGGCAGCUCACUAGACUGUUACUGACACUGAUGCUCGAAAGUGUGGGUAUCAAACAGGAUUAGAUACCCCGGUAGUCC
Molecule: ribosomal RNA, 445 nt
Filed under: uncultured bacterium
Lineage: Bacteria
Description: partial 16S ribosomal RNA
Rfam family: Bacterial small subunit ribosomal RNA
Source: RNAcentral